GAGUUUGAUCCUGGCUCAGAACGAACGCUGGCGGCAGGCCUAACACAUGCAAGUCGAGCGCGCCCUUCGGGGUGAGCGGCGGACGGGUUAGUAACGCGUGGGAAUAUACCCUUUGGUACGGAAUAGCCUCUGGAAACGGAGAGUAAUACCGUAUGAGCCCUUCGGGGGAAAGAUUUAUCGCCAAAGGAUUAGCCCGCGUUAGAUUAGGUAGUUGGUGGGGUAAUGGCCUACCAAGCCUACGAUCUAUAGCUGGUUUUAGAGGAUGAUCAGCAACACUGGGACUGAGACACGGCCCAGACUCCUACGGGAGGCAGCAGUGGGGAAUCUUGGACAAUGGGGGCAACCCUGAUCCAGCCAUGCCGCGUGAGUGAUGAAGGCCUUAGGGUCGUAAAGCUCUUUCGCCUGUGAAGAUAAUGACGGUAGCAGGUAAAGAAACCCCGGCUAACUCCGUGCCAGCAGCCGCGGUAAUACGGAGGGGGUUAGCGCUGUUCGGAAUUACUGGGCGUAAAGCGCACGUAGGCGGACCAGAAAGUUGGGGGUGAAAUCCCGGGGCUCAACCCCGGAACUGCCUCCAAAACUAUUGGUCUAGAGUUCGAGAGAGGUGAGUGGAAUUCCAAGUGUAGAGGUGAAAUUCGUAGAUAUUUGGAGGAACACCAGUGGCGAAGGCGGCUCACUGGCUCGAUACUGACGCUGAGGUGCGAAAGUGUGGGGAGCAAACAGGAUUAGAUACCCUGGUAGUC
Molecule: ribosomal RNA, 740 nt
Filed under: uncultured marine bacterium
Lineage: Bacteria
Description: bacterial SSU rRNA
Rfam family: Bacterial small subunit ribosomal RNA
Source: RNAcentral